CAAUAAUUUACAUUCGAAAAGCCUAGUUCCACGUCAUGACGUCAUCCUUUGAUGUGCCUUCUAUCCGUGCGCUUCAAAGUGGGAGCCGAGUCCAUAGGUUGAACACUGCGUUCUAUUUCAGGUUAUUCGGUUUGCACAGACAAACGAUUUCAACAGCGCAACUGAUAAUUCGGUCAAGUUUACAGCCAUGCUGAGAAGAAGCAGACGCUUACAGGAAAAUGGAUAUUAUGGCAGUGACGGCGAGCCAGUCAUCUGCUAUAAUGAGAGGACAAACAGGGUUUUCAAAAAACUCAAAGGUGGUUUUCAUGCCAGAUUUGAUACGUUUCCA
Long non-coding RNA from Archocentrus centrarchus (flier cichlid), 328 nucleotides. RefSeq lists it as uncharacterized. NCBI's taxonomy places the organism in Eukaryota, Metazoa, Chordata, Actinopteri, Cichliformes, Cichlidae. The record is from RefSeq and is a predicted model, not a curated record. The transcript has 3 exons.